RNAcentral lists this long non-coding RNA (393 nucleotides) under Gossypium raimondii (Peruvian cotton). RNAcentral's name for it is "long non-coding RNA (GRAI_LNC007715)". The record is from RNAcentral. Lineage: Eukaryota; Viridiplantae; Streptophyta; Magnoliopsida; Malvales; Malvaceae.
GUAUGUACCCAAGGUGGCCUCCGAGUUAGCCUUGCACCUAACAAGGAAAGCAUCUUGUGCUUUCUUCACGUUUUCCUCCUUUCCAGCCCAGGCCUUGAGAGUGCUCUGCUGAAGGGCACGUCCAAAUGAGAAUGAGAGUGACCAUGGUUUCUUGGUCUGGAGCUUGUUCAUGGCAUUAAGGUUAAGGGUAGCCUCCUCCUCACUUUGCCCACCAGACAAGAACACAAUAGCAGGGACUGCAGCAGGGACGGUACGCUGCAAGGCACGGACAGUGUACUCAGCAAUAACCUCUGGGGCAACCUUCAGGGAGUCGGAACCAGGGGUCACCAUGUUAGGCUUCAAAAGAGUACCUUCUAGCAUGACAUGGUGAUCAUUCAAAGCCUUGUAGCAAGC